RNAcentral lists this ribosomal RNA (513 nucleotides) under Providencia rettgeri. Its description in RNAcentral is "partial 23S ribosomal RNA". It matches the Rfam family "Bacterial large subunit ribosomal RNA", at positions 698 to 1209 of the family's 2925-position model. The record is from RNAcentral. Lineage: Bacteria; Pseudomonadati; Pseudomonadota; Gammaproteobacteria; Enterobacterales; Morganellaceae.
AGUUGCAGGGUAUAGACCCGAAACCCGGUGAUCUAGCCAUGGGCAGGUUGAAGGUUGGGUAACACUAACUGGAGGACCGAACCGACUAAUGUUGAAAAAUUAGCGGAUGACUUGUGGCUGGGGGUGAAAGGCCAAUCAAACCGGGAGAUAGCUGGUUCUCCCCGAAAGCUAUUUAGGUAGCGCCUCGUGAACUCAUCUUCGGGGGUAGAGCACUGUUUCGACUAGGGGGUCAUCCCGACUUACCAACUCGAUGCAAACUACGAAUACCGAAGAAUGUUAUCACGGGAGACACACGGCGGGUGCUAACGUUCGUCGUGAAGAGGGAAACAACCCAGACCGCCAGCUAAGGUCCCAAAGUCAUAGUUAAGUGGGAAACGAAGUGGGAAGGCUCAGACAGCCAGGAUGUUGGCUUAGAAGCAGCCAUCAUUUAAAGAAAGCGUAAUAGCUCACUGGUCGAGUCGGCCUGCGCGGAAGAUGUAACGGGGCUAAACUAUGCACCGAAGCUGCGGCAGC